RNAcentral lists this long non-coding RNA (807 nucleotides) under Trifolium pratense (red clover). RNAcentral's name for it is "long non-coding RNA (TPRA_LNC012025)". The record is from RNAcentral. Lineage: Eukaryota; Viridiplantae; Streptophyta; Magnoliopsida; Fabales; Fabaceae.
UUCUCACUGAAUGCUCGUAUAAAAAUAGAAAAGUGCAACAAACAUCACUAACCAUUGUCUAUGAAGCAUGGACACAAACACACUGACACGUCGACACUGAUAAUAAUUUGAGAAAAUGACAUAAUUCAAUGUAAUCAUAAGUGUGGCGUCGUGUCGGUGUCAGACACCAGGACACCUGUCCGUGCUUCACAGACCAUUGUUAAAGAAACUAAGUCACUAUUAUUACUUACAAGAUAUUACAUUUUCACAUCUAAUAACACACUCACCAAAUAAUCAGAUGAAACCCUUCUUCCCCUAAUUACCCAAAAGGGAAAGAAACAGUAAAGUUGAAUGAUUGUGAUUACAACCUCAUCAUCUUGUUUGCUAUUACUUUUCACCUUCAUUACGACCCUCCUCCUCAUGUUGAUCCAUAACCGUAUCUUGCAUUCACAAAAUCACGCAACGCACUGAGAAAUCAAAAAAUACGAAAUUAACAUUAGGGUUUCGAGUGAGUAAUGAAUAAUAUGAAUUAAACACGUCGAAUAACACAGUUUGAAGAGAAAAAGAAACAAUUUGCAUGAAAUAACGAUAGAAAUAAGAUAGUAAUAGAAAACCUAACACGGUAUAAGGGUGAAAUUGUUAAAGAAGAAAAACGAAUCAAGGAUGAAAUUACCGAAGUGAAGGUAUGAAUGAAGAGAGUGAGUAUCAGAAUCGUUGCGGAUUUAGAGUUGAUUGUUGAUUUGUGGAAGAAACCAAAAAUGGUGGUUUUGUGGUCUCGUCGUUCGUUCGAACCAUUGUUCGCUGUGAAAGUGAUAUGAAAAAAAAAAA